GCCUAAUACAUGCAAGUCGAGCGAGCGGAACUAACAGAUUUACUUCGGUAAUGACGUUAGGAAAGCGAGCGGCGGAUGGGUGAGUAACACGUGGGGAACCUGCCCCAUAGUCUGGGAUACCACUUGGAAACAGGUGCUAAUACCGGAUAAGAAAGCAGAUCGCAUGAUCAGCUUUUAAAAGGCGGCGUAAGCUGUCGCUAUGGGAUGGCCCCGCGGUGCAUUAGCUAGUUGGUAAGGUAAAGGCUUACCAAGGCGAUGAUGCAUAGCCGAGUUGAGAGACUGAUCGGCCACAUUGGGACUGAGACACGGCCCAAACUCCUACGGGAGGCAGCAGUAGGGAAUCUUCCACAAUGGACGCAAGUCUGAUGGAGCAACGCCGCGUGAGUGAAGAAGGUUUUCGGAUCGUAAAGCUCUGUUGUUGGUGAAGAAGGAUAGAGGUAGUAACUGGCCUUUAUUUGACGGUAAUCAACCAGAAAGUCACGGCUAACUACGUGCCAGCAGCCGCGGUAAUACGUAGGUGGCAAGCGUUGUCCGGAUUUAUUGGGCGUAAAGCGAGCGCAGCCGGAAGAAUAAGUCUGAUGUGAAAGCCCUCGGCUUAACCGAGGAACUGCAUCGGAAACUGUUUUUCUUGAGUGCAGAAGAGGAGAGUGGAACUCCAUGUGUAGCGGUGGAAUGCGUAGAUAUAUGGAAGAACACCAGUGGCGAAGGCGGCUCUCUGGUCUGCAACUGACGCUGAGGCUCGAAAGCAUGGGUAGCGAACAGGAUUAGAUACCCUGGUAGUCCAUGCCGUAAACGAUGAGUGCUAAGUGUUGGGAGGUUUCGGCCUCUCAGUGCUGCAGCUAACGCAUUAAGCACUCCGCCUGGCGAGUACGACCGCAAGGUUGAAACUCAAAGGAAUUGACGGGGGCCCGCACAAGCGGUGGAGCAUGUGGUUUAAUUCGAAGCAACGCGAAGAACCUU
Molecule: ribosomal RNA, 960 nt
Filed under: Lactobacillus crispatus
Lineage: Bacteria; Bacillati; Bacillota; Bacilli; Lactobacillales; Lactobacillaceae
Description: bacterial SSU rRNA
Rfam family: Bacterial small subunit ribosomal RNA
Source: RNAcentral